CACGUAGGGGGCGAGCGUUGUCCGGAUUUAUUGGGCGUAAAGAGCUCGUAGGCGGCUCGGUAAGUCAGGUGUGAAACCUCGGAGCUUAACUCCGAAACUGCAUUCGAUACUGCCGUGCUUGAGGACUGGAGAGGAGACUGGAAUUUACGGUGUAGCGGUGAAAUGCGUAGAUAUCGUAAGGAAGACCAGUGGCGAAGGCGGGUCUCUGGACAGUUCCUGACGCUGAGGCACGAAGGUCAGGGGAGCAAACGGG
This 253-nucleotide ribosomal RNA is filed under the name uncultured bacterium. RNAcentral's name for it is "partial 16S ribosomal RNA". It matches the Rfam family "Bacterial small subunit ribosomal RNA", at positions 524 to 776 of the family's 1533-position model. The record is from RNAcentral.